This 692-nucleotide ribosomal RNA is filed under the name uncultured Eubacteriales bacterium. Its description in RNAcentral is "bacterial SSU rRNA". It matches the Rfam family "Bacterial small subunit ribosomal RNA", at positions 28 to 684 of the family's 1533-position model. The record is from RNAcentral. Lineage: Bacteria; Bacillati; Bacillota; Clostridia; Eubacteriales.
GACGAACGCUGGCGGCGUGCCUAACACAUGCAAGUCGAGCGAAUUAGAGGUGGGAGCUGAGAGGUGAGAUGAGGGAGAGUAAUCUCAAAUCUCAUUUCUCACAUCCCACUUCUGGUUAGCGGCGGACGGGUGAGUAACACGUGGGGAACCUGCCCUGUACAGCGGGAUAGCCAGCCGAAAGGCUGAGUAAUACCGCAUAACGAUAGAGGAGCACAUGUUCUUUUAUCCAAAGGUGAAUAACCGGUACAGGAUGGCCCCGCGGCCCAUUAGUUAGUUGGUGAGGUAACGGCCCACCAAGGCAGCGAUGGGUAGCCGAUCUAAGAGGAUGAACGGCCACAUUGGAACUGAGAAACGGUCCAGACUCCUACGGGAGGCAGCAGUGGGGAAUAUUGCGCAAUGGGGGGAACCCUGACGCAGCAACGCCGCGUGGAGGAAGAAGGUUUUCGGAUCGUAAACUCCUGUCAUCAGGGACGAUAAUGACGGUACCUGAGGAGGAAGCCACGGCUAACUACGUGCCAGCAGCCGCGGUAAUACGUAGGUGGCGAGCGUUGUCCGGAAUUACUGGGCGUAAAGGGUGCGUAGGCGGUAAGUAAAGUCCGAUGUGAAAUUCCGGGGCUUAACUUCGGAACUGCAUUAGAAACUUACUUACUAGAGUGCAGGAGAGGGAAGCGGAAUUUCUAGUGUAGCGGUGA